CAACAGGGAUUGCCCCAGUAACGGCGAGUGAAGCGGCAAUAGCUCAAAUUUGAAAUCUGGCUCUUUCAGGGUCCGAGUUGUAAUUUGCAGAGGGCGCUUUGGUGUCGGCAGCGGCCUAAGUUCCUUGGAACAGGUCAUCAUAGAGGGUGAGAAUCCCGUAUGUGGCUGCUUGUCUUCACCGUGUAAAGCCCCUUCGAUGAGUCGAGUUGUUUGGGAAUGCAGCUCUAAAUGGGAGGUAAAUUUCUUCUAAAGCUAAAUAUUGGCCAGAGACCGAUAGCGCACAAGUAGAGUGAUCGAAAGAUGAAAAGCACUUUGGAAAGAGAGUCAAAAAGCACGUGAAAUUGUUGAAAGGGAAGCGCUUGCAGCCAGACGUGCCCGUAGUUGCUCAUCUGGGGAUUUCCCCAGUGCACUCUUCUAUGGGCAGGCCAGCAUCAGUUCGGGCGGUUGGAGAAAGACCUGUGUCACGUAGCUCUCUUCGGGGAGUGUUAUAGGGCAGGUGGAAUGCAACCAGCCUGGACUGAGGUCCGCGCAUCUGCUAGGAUGCUGGCGUAAUGGCUGUAAGCGGCCCGUCUUGAAACACGGACCAAGGAGUCUAACAUCUAUGCGAGUGUUUGGGUGUCAAGCCCGAGCGCGUAAUGAAAGUGAACGGAGGUGGGAACCCCUCGGGGUGCACCAUCGACCGAUCCUGAUGUCUUCGGAUGGAUUUGAGUAAGAGCAUAGCUGUUGGGACCCGAAAGAUGGUGAACUAUGCCUGAAUAGGGUGAAGCCAGAGGAAACUCUGGUGGAGGCUCGCAGCGGUUCUGACGUGCAAAUCGAUCGUCAAAUUUGGGCAUAGGGGCGAAAGACUAAUCGAAC
This 855-nucleotide ribosomal RNA is filed under the name Melanomma pulvis-pyrius. RNAcentral describes it as "eukaryotic LSU rRNA". It matches the Rfam family "Eukaryotic large subunit ribosomal RNA", at positions 66 to 940 of the family's 3401-position model. Lineage: Eukaryota; Fungi; Ascomycota; Dothideomycetes; Pleosporales; Melanommataceae. The record is from RNAcentral.